This 359-nucleotide long non-coding RNA is filed under the name Homo sapiens (human). RNAcentral's name for it is "HSALNT0247851". Lineage: Eukaryota; Metazoa; Chordata; Mammalia; Primates; Hominidae. The record is from RNAcentral.
GGGACCUCUGUCCUAGUAUUAUUUUCUCUGUUGAAUUCAUCCUACCAGUUGCUGAGCUCUUUAUUUGCACACAUCAGCCUUUUAGGAAGGAUCUCCAGGAAUCCUGUGGGGAGAGGCUGGUGCUGGGGGAAGACAGAGGAAUGCCUGGAGAGGACAGAAGUGAGGCUACACCUGUUGGUCUGGAUUGCAGCUGGAAUUGGAAGGGAAAUGCAUUUCCAUUGAAGGAAGAAGUGUAACAGUGAGCAGGCAGGUGUCAGCGGAUCUCAAGAGAAUAAUGUCAACUGGACAAUGGCUUAGAGGCAGGAGGAGGCAGAUCAGCUAGGCAGAUGUGCAGAAGUUAAGUGUGGUUUCAUGCAGAA